AGUCGAGCGAACUGAUUAGAAGCUUGCUUCUAUGACGUUAGCGGCGGACGGGUGAGUAACACGUGGGCAACCUGCCUGUAAGACUGGGAUAACUUCGGGAAACCGAAGCUAAUACCGGAUAGGAUCUUCUCCUUCAUGGGAGAUGAUUGAAAGAUGGUUUCGGCUAUCACUUACAGAUGGGCCCGCGGUGCAUUAGCUAGUUGGUGAGGUAACGGCUCACCAAGGCAACGAUGCAUAGCCGACCUGAGAGGGUGAUCGGCCACACUGGGACUGAGACACGGCCCAGACUCCUACGGGAGGCAGCAGUAGGGAAUCUUCCGCAAUGGACGAAAGUCUGACGGAGCAACGCCGCGUGAGUGAUGAAGGCUUUCGGGUCGUAAAACUCUGUUGUUAGGGAAGAACAAGUACGAGAGUAACUGCUCGUACCUUGACGGUACCUAACCAGAAAGCCACGGCUAACUACGUGCCAGCAGCCGCGGUAAUACGUAGGUGGCAAGCGUUAUCCGGAAUUAUUGGGCGUAAAGCGCGCGCAGGCGGUUUCUUAAGUCUGAUGUGAA
This 557-nucleotide ribosomal RNA is filed under the name Priestia megaterium. RNAcentral describes it as "bacterial SSU rRNA". It matches the Rfam family "Bacterial small subunit ribosomal RNA", at positions 60 to 598 of the family's 1533-position model. Lineage: Bacteria; Bacillati; Bacillota; Bacilli; Caryophanales; Bacillaceae. The record is from RNAcentral.